UACGUAAAAGACUAGUGUUAUUCAUCUUCAAUAGGUUUAAAGGGUGCGUAGGCGGGUCUUUAAGUCAGGGGUGAAAUCCUGGAGCUCAACUCCAGAACUGCCUUUGAUACUGAAGAUCUUGAGUUCGGGAGAGGUGAGUGGAACUGCGAGUGUAGAGGUGAAAUUCGUAGAUAUUCGCAAGAACACCAGUGGCGAAGGCGGCUCACUGGCCCGAUACUGACGCUGAGGCACGAAAGCGUGGGGAGCAAACAGG
This 253-nucleotide ribosomal RNA is filed under the name uncultured bacterium. RNAcentral's name for it is "partial 16S ribosomal RNA". It matches the Rfam family "Bacterial small subunit ribosomal RNA", at positions 524 to 776 of the family's 1533-position model. The record is from RNAcentral.